This 351-nucleotide ribosomal RNA is filed under the name uncultured bacterium. RNAcentral describes it as "bacterial SSU rRNA". It matches the Rfam family "Bacterial small subunit ribosomal RNA", at positions 917 to 1269 of the family's 1533-position model. The record is from RNAcentral.
GGGCCCGCACAAGCGGUGGAGUAUGUGGUUUAAUUCGAUGCAACGCGAAGAACCUUACCAGGGUUUGACAUCCUGCGAAUCUCUUGGAAACGAGAGAGUGCCUUCGGGAACGCAGUGACAGGUGGUGCAUGGCUGUCGUCAGCUCGUGUCGUGAGAUGUUGGGUUAAGUCCCGCAACGAGCGCAACCCACGUCGUUAGUUGCCAGCAUUUAGUUGGGCACUCUAGCGAGACCGCCGGUGAUAAACCGGAGGAAGGUGUGGAUGACGUCAAGUCAUCAUGCCCCUUACAUCCUGGGCUACACACGUGCUACAAUGGCCGGUACAGAGAGCAGCCACUACGCGAGUAGGCGCG